This 467-nucleotide ribosomal RNA is filed under the name uncultured bacterium. RNAcentral's name for it is "partial 16S ribosomal RNA". It matches the Rfam family "Bacterial small subunit ribosomal RNA", at positions 28 to 506 of the family's 1533-position model. The record is from RNAcentral.
GACGAACGCUGGCGGCGUGCUUAACACAUGCCAGUCGAACGGAAAGGCCCUGCUUUUGUGGGGUGCUCGAGUGGCGAACGGGUGAGUAACACGUGAGUAACCUGCCCUUGACUUUGGGAUAACUUCAGGAAACUGGGGCUAAUACCGGAUAGGAGCUCCUGCUGCAUGGUGGGGGUUGGAAAGUUUCGGCGGUUGGGGAUGGACUUGCGGCUUAUCAGCUUGUUGGUGGGGUAGUGGCUUACCAAGGCUUUGACGGGUAGCCGGCCUGAGAGGGUGACCGGCCACAUUGGGACUGAGAUACGGCCCAGACUCCUACGGGAGGCAGCAGUGGGGAAUAUUGCACAAUGGGCGGAAGCCUGAUGCAGCAACGCCGCGUGCGGGAUGACGGCCUUCGGGUUGUAAACCGCUUUCGCCUGUGACGAAGCGUGAGUGACGGUAAUGGGUAAAGAAGCACCGGCUAACUACGU